AGGGUUUGAUUAUGGCUCAGGAUGAACGCUAGCGACAGGCCUAACACAUGCAAGUCGAGGGGCAGCAUAAGAAGUAGCAAUACUUUGGUGGCGACCGGCGCACGGGUGAGUAACACGUAUGCAACCUACCUGUAAGCGGGGAAUAACCCGGAGAAAUUCGGACUAAUACCGCAUAACACCGCUGAACUGCAUGGUUUAGUGGUUAAACAUUUAUGGCUUACAGAUGGGCAUGCGUAUGAUUAGCUAGUUGGUGAGGUAACGGCUCACCAAGGCAACGAUCAUUAGGGGUUCUGAGAGGAAGGUCCCCCACAUUGGAACUGAGACACGGUCCAAACUCCUACGGGAGGCAGCAGUGAGGAGUAUUGGUCAAUGGGCGAGAGCCUGAACCAGCCAAGUCGCGUGAAGGAAGAAGGUUCUAUGGAUUGUAAACUUCUUUUGUAAGGGAAUAAAGUGCAGCACGUGUGCUGUUUUGUAUGUACUUUACGAAUAAGGAUCGGCUAACUCCGUGCCAGCAGCCGCGGUAAUACGGAGGAUCCGAGCGUUAUCCGGAUUUA
RNAcentral lists this ribosomal RNA (554 nucleotides) under uncultured Bacteroidota bacterium. RNAcentral's name for it is "bacterial SSU rRNA". It matches the Rfam family "Bacterial small subunit ribosomal RNA", at positions 8 to 553 of the family's 1533-position model. The record is from RNAcentral. Lineage: Bacteria; Pseudomonadati; Bacteroidota.